UACGGAGGGGGCUAGCGUUGUUCGGAAUUACUGGGCGUAAAGCGUGCGCAGGCGGUUUUGUAAGUUUGUCGUGAAAGCCCCGGGCUCAACCUGGGAAUUGCGAUGAAGACUGCAAGGCUUGAAUCUGGCAGAGGGGGUAGAAUUCCACGUGUAGCAGUGAAAUGCGUAGAGAUGUGGAGGAACACCGAUGGCGAAGGCAGCCCCCUGGGUCAAGAUUGACGCUCAUGCACGAAAGCGUGGGGAGCAAACAGG
This 252-nucleotide ribosomal RNA is filed under the name uncultured bacterium. RNAcentral describes it as "partial 16S ribosomal RNA". It matches the Rfam family "Bacterial small subunit ribosomal RNA", at positions 524 to 776 of the family's 1533-position model. The record is from RNAcentral.